UUAGUUGAAGGCCAGUGGCCUUCAGAGGAUUUUCAGAAGAUUUAUUUCAUGAGAAUAUUUGAUAAUUUUGUAUUUCAUCUUUAUUUAACCAGGAGGUGCCAUUGAGGUUAGAAGACCUCUUUCUCAAGGGAGACCUUGCCAAGAAGGGCAGAUCAGUGAAAACACAUAGAACAUUCUAAUCAAAGUGCAUAGUCUGCAUAGCAAGUAGUUAUUGUUCUUAUGUGAUACCUGCUCUGAUGUGUCUUGUUCUAGAACCCAGAGAAGAACAUGGAAUGGGAGUUCUAUUUCAAAAACCUCUCUCGGUCUCUUACGUCUCUUUUGGUUCUUCUCACAACUGCUAACAACCCUGACGGAACAUACAUCCUGAUGAACCUGCUGACUGCCAUCAUAUACAACCAGUUUAGAGGAUACUUAGUGGACCUGAGCCCUAGGACCAUGCCUCAGGACUACCUGGCCUGAUGACUCCUUGCUGUCCCUUGUCCACCUGGCCGUGCUGCUGCUUCUGUAUCAACUGUUCUGCCUGCGGC
Salmo salar (Atlantic salmon) is the source of this 527-nucleotide non-coding RNA. NCBI's taxonomy places the organism in Eukaryota, Metazoa, Chordata, Actinopteri, Salmoniformes, Salmonidae. The record is from RefSeq and is a predicted model, not a curated record.